Molecule: long non-coding RNA, 2064 nt
Organism: Rattus norvegicus (Norway rat)
Lineage: Eukaryota; Metazoa; Chordata; Mammalia; Rodentia; Muridae
Source: Ensembl
GGCAGCCCAGGUUGUUACCCUGCCGACACAUGAAUGGUGGUGGAAUUAUCAGGGCUGGCUAAGUUCUAAAUUGGAUUUCACAGUAGGCUGAGAAAGUUGAAAACAGAGAAAGCUCCCAGGGUUAUAAAAACUGCCAAAGUCUUCAUUCUGAGGUGGCCUAUGUAUGCCUGAAUGAACUCAACAUUGGAGAAGGAAGAGCCAACCAGUUCCCGGCCACUCCCAGCCAGUGGCUUCCCUGAGCCCUGUUGCUAUGCUAGGCUAUUAAAAAUGGGCAGUGGUGCUCCACGAAAGCAAGCCAGCAGGGAGGAAAUCUUCAGGCCUGCUAGCAGGAGCAGUCCUUGACUGGUAGUCACUACUACAGAGUGGACUUUAACAAUGGCAUCUGAACACCCUCGGUGGGUACAUCUCUCUGCUCUGUGGAGCUUUAGGAAGGACCUGCCCAUGAAGGUCACCAGAAAGACCUGAAGAAUAUGGCAGGAGUUUUGCAUUGUAGAGGGUCCAAGAGAGAGAAGGGGGUGCUUCAACCAAGCGAAGGUCCACACUGACUACACAUGGUGACUGCUAAUCACCAUAUGCUUCUAGAACCGCCCCCCUCUCUCUCUGGCCCAUUGCAAUCAUUGGUUUGCACACGACACUGUGUAUUGUUCCAUCCACACUGUAAGAGCCCAGAGACCAACAGUGUCUCUACAGGCCCCAGCAGACUGGUAGCAAUGCUCUGCUUAGACAACAUGUGUUAGCCACGGCCCCUCAGUUGAGUGCUUGUGAGAAGCUUCAUUCCUGCAAGGCAGAUGGCCAUUGUGACACCCCAAGGCUGCUUCAACGAGACAAGCAAAGGAGCUCCCACCUUCAUGUGGCUUGACAGCUUGCCCUGCUGGCCUGUCAUCCGAGUGUCAAAGCAGCUUCUUCAGAUACUUCGUUUUCUGGACUUCAUCCAAGAAGCUGUUGGACACAGAGAAACUGAGAAACUGCCAGUCACUUUCUCAGCUUCUUCCUCGAGAGAGUCUGCGUGUCAAAAAAACUGUUAUUAGGAAUGUAAACACUGCAGACAUUUGAGCUAGCAAGCAGAGAUUCAACCCCUCUUCACUGUUGUUCAAUGUAUUCCAAGGCAGAUGUGGUUGAUUCUUCUAAGAGCACCCAGCCAUCCUUCCUCUGCAGAGCUGGUGAAGGUAGCUGGGUAAUACUUCAGAGUGGGCUGGACAGAAGUCACGAGGAGACAACCAUAGGAUGGUGGUUCCAUGUGUGCACAGGGCUGAGGGGUGACCCCUUCGAUGUCUUCUCCAAGAUGUGAGAGGAAGUCGCUGCCUUCUACAUUCAUAGCCCUGGCUUGGGAACAGAUUUCUGGAUGUCCCCACUGAAAUAGGUGAGAUCAAGUCUCCCGCCUCCCCUGAGCAGCACCACCCAGGCCUCUCUCCCUUGGCUUCCCAGGAGUGCAGAGAAAGAAGCUGAGCAAACUUUGGGGCCAAGGGAGAUGCUACACUCCGAGCCAAAAGGGCAGGUGAAGACCAAAGAGGGUGUGAGUAUGUCCUCUCAGGGGACAGGCCAGGCCUAGAACCACUGUGCCACAAAUACUAUGCACCAGGUGCCUCAGCAUGUCCUCUCAGGGGACAGGCCAGGCCUAGAACCACUGUGCCACUGUGCCACAAAUACUAUGCACCAGGUGCCUCAGCAGAGAGCAAUUUCUAUUCUUACAGUUCUGAGUCACAGAUCAAGCUACCACCAUUGCUCUGGUGGUCUCUCUUCUUUGCUCACAGAAGGCCCCUACCCUGCACCUGCGGUGACUGAAAGGUGCAGAGGAGACUGGUAAAGCACAUCUCUGGGUAUCUCUGAGAGGGCUUUUCCUCCCACGGUUGGUUCCCUGAGGGCCAUGAUCAACCAGUGAUUGACUUCACUGAAGGAAGUAUGGCACCAGGAGAGCCCUGGGUCGUUCCCAGCAUGCUCUCUGCUUUCUGUCCACUUGCAGAUUAAGAUGUGAGCCCUUAGCUUCUGUUUCAGUUACCGUGGCUGCUGCUCCUUUCUUUCUGCCCUUUGGAGCCAUAAGCCCCAAAUAAACUUUCUUUUAUAAGU